UACGUAGGGUGCGAGCGUUGUCCGGAAUUAUUGGGCGUAAAGAGCUCGUAGGCGGUUUGUCGCGUCGACUGUGAAAACCUGGGGCUUAACUCUGGGCCUGCAGUCGAUACGGGCAGACUUGAGUUCGGUAGGGGAGACUGGAAUUCCUGGUGUAGCGGUGAAAUGCGCAGAUAUCAGGAGGAACACCGGUGGCGAAGGCGGGUCGCUGGGCCGAUACUGACGCUGAGGGGCGAAAGCGUGGGGAGCGAACAGG
RNAcentral lists this ribosomal RNA (253 nucleotides) under uncultured bacterium. Its description in RNAcentral is "partial 16S ribosomal RNA". It matches the Rfam family "Bacterial small subunit ribosomal RNA", at positions 524 to 776 of the family's 1533-position model. The record is from RNAcentral.